Molecule: long non-coding RNA, 451 nt
Filed under: Olea europaea (common olive)
Lineage: Eukaryota; Viridiplantae; Streptophyta; Magnoliopsida; Lamiales; Oleaceae
Description: long non-coding RNA (OEUR_LNC008780)
Source: RNAcentral
UUGACUUGUGCAUUUUCCAUUCAAAAAAAUCAGUCAACGUGAGAAGACAACUGAGAAAGGGGGCUUUGAAAGUAGAGGAUGUUUACAACUCUGACUUCGAAGAAAUCAGUCCAAGUUUGUCUUCUACGACCGCUCGACCCCCACCUCAGCUAAUUUCCCAGGCCAUUUGGGCAUUUCCAGUUCCAAAAAAGAUUGUCGGAUGCAAUUGAAGUAGAUUCUCAACCCACAAACGGUGAUUAAGAAAGCGAGACAACUUCAAAAUUCUAGAUUUCUUUAGUAUUGUGCAUUUUGAAGGUGUGAUAUUGCGUUAAAUGCAUUUUGAAAAAUAUAUAGUUUCAUUCUCUUCGCAUUUUGGAUUAUGAUCUAAAAAAUCAGUAGUUUGUUAAAUGCAUUACGGGAAAUUAAGGAUAUCUGCAUCUUCAAACUAUAUUUUGUAAAAUUUUAGUUCCAC